This is a long non-coding RNA of Lacerta agilis (Sand lizard), 228 nucleotides long. RefSeq lists it as uncharacterized. The record is from RefSeq and is a predicted model, not a curated record. Lineage: Eukaryota; Metazoa; Chordata; Lepidosauria; Squamata; Lacertidae. The transcript has 2 exons.
CGAACACAACUAGGUACUCUGAGAUCCCAGAAUCGUACAGUCUUGUCUUGGGAGCCAGACGCUAUCAUCCAUCCACUCCAUGUAUAAAGUGCUAAAAUGUGACCUGUGUAGGAAGACUGCGAAGAUCUGCCUAAGUCAAAUACCAGUUUUCGAGGAACAGCAGAGGAGGAGCUAAACAGCAUAUAAGCAAACAAGUUAUAAAGAGACUAAACACACACACACACAAAA